Molecule: long non-coding RNA, 470 nt
Organism: Mustela erminea (ermine)
Lineage: Eukaryota; Metazoa; Chordata; Mammalia; Carnivora; Mustelidae
Exons: 2
Source: RefSeq, a predicted model, not a curated record
GUCUCCAUUGCCUUUUAGGACCAAAGAUUUGCUGAUGUUCCAGGACUAGGUUGACAUUGCAUUCUUUUGUCUGAUUAACUAUCUAGAGGUGGUUGAAUUGGAACUAGCUUGUUACCGACAGAAGCUCAGGCUUUGUAUUCCAUGAAAUAAACACAGACAGGGGUCUUUGUGGUACCGUUCAGAAGACCAGCACCUUCAGGAGACCCUGAAGCUCUUGUCUCCAGGCUUCCAGUGAGACACACACCCAUGAGGCUUCACGCAGAUAUCAGUCAAGGCUUUGGACUUCCAGAAUUUAUGAUGUAGAAGCUUAGUGAAAAUAACUGUCUUAUCACCCAGAAUUGACACCAGGUAUGAGUUUCAUCAUUUGUGAGACUAUUUAGGCACAACGAAUCAUAUGAGAAAUCAUGGAAGAAGGAAUCUAUCAUUUGACUCUCCCUUCAUGGAAAUUUCUAGUAAAUUCAAAGGCCAAA